RNAcentral lists this ribosomal RNA (163 nucleotides) under uncultured bacterium. Its description in RNAcentral is "partial 16S rRNA". It matches the Rfam family "Bacterial small subunit ribosomal RNA", at positions 355 to 511 of the family's 1533-position model. The record is from RNAcentral.
UAGGGAAUCUUCCACAAUGGGCGCAGCCUGAUGGAGCAACACCGCGUGAGUGAAGAAGGGUUUCGGCUCGUAAAGCUCUGUUGUUAAAGAGGAACACGUAUGAGAGUAACUGUUCAUACGUUGACGGUAUUUAACCAGAAAGUCACGGCUAACUACGUGCCAG